UCCUGACUGACCGAUAGUGAACCAGUACCGUGAGGGAAAGGCGAAAAGAACCCCGGCGAGGGGAGUGAAAAAGAACCUGAAACCGUGUACGUACAAGCAGUGGGAGCACGCUUCGGCGUGUGACUGCGUACCUUUUGUAUAAUGGGUCAGCGACUUAUAUUCUGUAGCAAGGUUAACCGAAUAGGGGAGCCGAAGGGAAACCGAGUCUUAACUGGGCGUUAAGUUGCAGGGUAUAGACCCGAAACCCGGUGAUCUAGCCAUGGGCAGGUUGAAGGUUGGGUAACACUAACUGGAGGACCGAACCGACUAAUGUUGAAAAAUUAGCGGAUGACUUGUGGCUGGGGGUGAAAGGCCAAUCAAACCGGGAGAUAGCUGGUUCUCCCCGAAAGCUAUUUAGGUAGCGCCUCGUGAAUUCAUCUCCGGGGGUAGAGCACUGUUUCGGCAAGGGGGUCAUCCCGACUUACCAACCCGAUGCAAACUGCGAAUACCGGAGAAUGUUAUCACGGGAGACACACGGCGGGUGCUAACGUCCGUCGUGAAGAGGGAAACAACCCAGACCGCCAGCUAAGGUCCCAAAGUCAUGGUUAAGUGGGAAACGAUGUGGGAAGGCCCAGACAGCCAGGAUGUUGGCUUAGAAGCAGCCAUCAUUUAAAGAAAGCGUAAUAGCUCACUGGUCGAGUCGGCCUGCGCGGAAGAUGUAACGGGGCUAAACCAUGCACCGAAGCUGCGGCAGCGACACUAUGUGUUGUUGGGUAGGGGAGCGUUCUGUAAGCCUGUGAAGGUGUACUGUGAGGUAUGCUGGAGGUAUCAGAAGUGCGAAUGCUGACAUAAGUAACGAUAAAGCGGGUGAAAAGCCCGCUCGCCGGAAGACCAAGGGUUCCUGUCCAACGUUAAUCGGGGCAGGGUGAGUCGACCCCUAAGGCGAGGCCGAAAGGCGUAGUCGAUGGGAAACAGGUUAAUAUUCCUGUACUUGGUGUUACUGCGAAGGGGGGACGGAGAAGGCUAUGUUGGCCGGGCGACGGUUGUCCCGGUUUAAGCGUGUAGGCUGGUUUUCCAGGCAAAUCCGGAAAAUCAAGGCU
This 1079-nucleotide ribosomal RNA is filed under the name Escherichia coli. Its description in RNAcentral is "partial 23S ribosomal RNA". It matches the Rfam family "Bacterial large subunit ribosomal RNA", at positions 474 to 1557 of the family's 2925-position model. The record is from RNAcentral. Lineage: Bacteria; Pseudomonadati; Pseudomonadota; Gammaproteobacteria; Enterobacterales; Enterobacteriaceae.